This 330-nucleotide ribosomal RNA is filed under the name uncultured bacterium. RNAcentral's name for it is "bacterial SSU rRNA". It matches the Rfam family "Bacterial small subunit ribosomal RNA", at positions 568 to 898 of the family's 1533-position model. The record is from RNAcentral.
CGCGUAGGUGGUAGUGUAAGUCUGGGGUGGAAUCCCAGGGCUCAACCCUGGAACUGCCUUGGAAACUGCAUUACUUGAGUCAGUGAGGGGAGGGUAGAAUUCCUGGUGUAGCGGUGAAAUGCGUAGAUAUCAGGAGGAAGGCCUGUGGCGAAGGCGGCCCUCUGGCACUGGACUGACACUGAGGCGCGAAAGCGUGGGGAGCAAACAGGAUUAGAUACCCUGGUAGUCCACGCCCUAAACGGUGGGCACUAGGUGUAGGGCUCGUAAGGGUUCUGUGCCGAAGGGAAACCAUUAAGUGCCCCGCCUGGGGAGUACGGCCGCAAGGUUGAA